RNAcentral lists this ribosomal RNA (520 nucleotides) under Aspergillus fumigatus. RNAcentral describes it as "eukaryotic LSU rRNA". Lineage: Eukaryota; Fungi; Ascomycota; Eurotiomycetes; Eurotiales; Aspergillaceae. The record is from RNAcentral.
UGGGUCACCUCCCACCCGUGUCUAUCGUACCUUGUUGCUUCGGCGGGCCCGCCGUUUCGACGGCCGCCGGGRAGGCCUUGCGCCCCCGGGCCCGCGCCCGCCGAAGACCCCAACAUGAACGCUGUUCUGAAAGUAUGCAGUCUGAGUUGAUUAUCGUAAUCAGUUAAAACUUUCAACAACGGAUCUCUUGGUUCCGGCAUCKAUGAAGAACGCAGCGAAAUGCGAUAAGUAAUGUGAAUUGCAGAAUUCAGUGAAUCAUCGAGUCUUUGAACGCACAUUGCGCCCCCUGGUAUUCCGGGGGGCAUGCCUGUCCGAGCGUCAUUGCUGCCCUCAAGCACGGCUUGUGUGUUGGGCCCCCGUCCCCCUCUCCCGGGGGACGGGCCCGAAAGGCAGCGGCGGCACCGCGUCCGGUCCUCGAGCGUAUGGGGCUUUGUCACCUGCUCUGUAGGCCCGGCCGGCGCCAGCCGACACCCAACUUUAUUUUUCUAAGGUWGACMUCGGAUCAGGUAGGGAUACCCGC